AGAGUUGAUCCUGGCUCAGAUUGAACGCUGGCGGGAUGCUUUACACAUGCAAGUCGAACGGCAGCAUAGAGAGCUUGCUCUCUGAUGGCGAGUGGCGAACGGGUGAGUAAUAUAUCGGAACGUGCCCAGUAAUGGGGAGUAACUAGCCGAAAGGUUAGCUAAUACCGCAUACGACCUACGGGUGAAAGCAGGGGAUCUUAGGACCUUGCGUUAUUGGAGCGGCCGAUAUCUGAUUAGCUUGUUGGUAGGGUAAAAGCCUACCAAGGCAACGAUCAGUAGCUGGUCUGAGAGGACGAUCAGCCACACUGGAACUGAGACACGGUCCAGACUCCUACGGGAGGCAGCAGUGGGGAAUUUUGGACAAUGGGGGAAACCCUGAUCCAGCCAUCCCGCGUGAGUGAAGAAGGCCUUCGGGUUGUAAAGCUCUUUCGAAAGUGAAGAAAACUUAUUUCGUAAUAUGUUAUAAGUAUGACGGUAACUUUAGAAGAAGCACCGGCUAACUACGUGCCAGCAGCCGCGGUAAUACGUAGGGUGCGAGCGUUAAUCGGAAUUACUGGGCGUAAAGCGUGCGCAGGCGGUUUUGUAAGUCAGAUGUGAAAUCCCCGAGCUUAACUUGGGAACUGCGUUUGAAACUACAAGACUAGAGUGUGUCAGAGGGGGGUAGAAUUCCACGUGUAGCAGUGAAAUGCGUAGAGAUGUGGAGGAAUACCAAUGGCGAAGGCAGCCCCCUGGGAUAACACUGACGCUCAUGCACGAAAGCGUGGGGAGCGAACAGGAUUAGAUACCCUGGUAGUCCACGCCCUAAACGAUGUCAACUAGUUGUUGGUGGAGUAAGAUCCAUGAGUAACGUAGCUAACGCGUGAAGUUGACCGCCUGGGGAGUACGGUCGCAAGAUUAAAACUCAAAGGAAUUGACGG
Molecule: ribosomal RNA, 917 nt
Filed under: uncultured marine bacterium
Lineage: Bacteria
Description: bacterial SSU rRNA
Rfam family: Bacterial small subunit ribosomal RNA
Source: RNAcentral